CUCCUGUGUCAUCAUCCAGUAUUUAUGCUGCAGUAGUUUUUGUGUCGGGGGGCUAGGAGGACCUGAGCCCUAGGACCAUGCCUCGGGACUACCUGGCAUGAUGACUCCUUGCUGUCCCCAGUCCACCUGGCCGUGCUGCUGCUCCAGUUUCACCUGUUCUGCCUGCGGCUAUGGAACCCUGACCUGUUCACCGGACAUGCUACCUGUCCCAGACCUGCUGUUUUCAACUCUCUAGAGACAGCAGGAGCGGUAGAGAACUCUCAAUGAUCGGCUAUGAAAAGCCAAAUGACAUUUACUCUUGAGGUUCUGGGACGGCGGAUCAUAAUUAGUCAUGCAGCUAAUUUCCCACAAUGCCCUGCAGCCCUGGUCUCCAGCGGCACGCUCAUACAUAUUCAACAGUAUGCUAAUGAGCACCACUGCACCCAGGUGAGAUGCUGCCACGGAGAAGGCCAAUCAGAACACGGACACGCUGACCAAUCAAAUGACAGAACUGAAACAGUGACCAAUCAGAUUCUAGAACACAG
Molecule: long non-coding RNA, 524 nt
Filed under: Salmo salar (Atlantic salmon)
Lineage: Eukaryota; Metazoa; Chordata; Actinopteri; Salmoniformes; Salmonidae
Description: lncRNA (ENSSSAG00000094990.1)
Source: RNAcentral